ACCAGGGUAUCUCAAAUGAUUUCAAAACCCGAAACAUGAUUAAAGGAUUUUCAGAAAGCCUACAGAUUAAGCUGGUUCUUACAGUCUAAGCAGUCAGAGUACUUGAUGACUAUUUUCAGCUUUGAAUGCUGUAAGCCGGUUCUGGAAUGAUGGAGCUCCGAGAAAUGAGAGUCACCAGUAGAC
This is a long non-coding RNA of Grammomys surdaster, 183 nucleotides long. RefSeq lists it as uncharacterized. Lineage: Eukaryota; Metazoa; Chordata; Mammalia; Rodentia; Muridae. The record is from RefSeq and is a predicted model, not a curated record. The transcript has 3 exons.